RNAcentral lists this ribosomal RNA (400 nucleotides) under uncultured Roseomonas sp. Its description in RNAcentral is "bacterial SSU rRNA". It matches the Rfam family "Bacterial small subunit ribosomal RNA", at positions 354 to 771 of the family's 1533-position model. The record is from RNAcentral. Lineage: Bacteria; Pseudomonadati; Pseudomonadota; Alphaproteobacteria; Acetobacterales; Roseomonadaceae.
GUGGGGAAUAUUGGACAAUGGGCGCAAGCCUGAUCCAGCAAUGCCGCGUGGGUGAAGAAGGUCUUCGGAUUGUAAAGCCCUUUCGACAGGGACGAUGAUGACGGUACCUGUAGAAGAAGCCCCGGCUAACUUCGUGCCAGCAGCCGCGGUAAUACGAAGGGGGCUAGCGUUGCUCGGAAUUACUGGGCGUAAAGGGCGCGUAGGCGGCCUGCUUAGUCAGACGUGAAAAUCCUGGGCUUAACCUGGGGACUGCGUUUGAUACGGGUGGGCUUGAGGAUGGAAGAGGCUCGUGGAAUUCCCAGUGUAGAGGUGAAAUUCGUAGAUAUUGGGAAGAACACCGGUGGCGAAGGCGGCGAGCUGGUCCAUUACUGACGCUGAGGCGCGACAGCGUGGGGAGCAA